Pseudopipra pipra is the source of this 16737-nucleotide long non-coding RNA. RefSeq lists it as uncharacterized. NCBI's taxonomy places the organism in Eukaryota, Metazoa, Chordata, Aves, Passeriformes, Pipridae. The record is from RefSeq and is a predicted model, not a curated record. The transcript is spliced from 3 exons.
GGGGCUCCGGGCUGGGGGAGUGGACGCCGCUUAAGGAAGGGGCCAUGCCCCACCGGCGGGGCGGGGGCCAACCGCGCCUCGCGCUCUGCCCCGCCCUGCCUUGGGCGCGGCGCACUUGGCACAAGCAGCAAAUAAUGGCUUCGGGGAGCGCGGACGGUGCUGGCCGGGGUGGCUCCGAGGCGACGGCAGUCGGGCAGCCCGUUAACGCCGGGGCGGGGGGGCUUCCUUCUUCCCCCCCCCCUCCCUCCCCUCUUGGUUCGGCCCGUCCCGCCCCUCCCGAGCCCGUGACAGGUGGAGCGGCACCCGACGCGUGCGCGCGCCUCCGCCCGCGGCCGUCACGUGGCGCCGCGCGCGCCUCGCGCGAGACUCGCGGCGCGAGGGGUCUCGCGAUGCCUCGGCGGCCCCGGGGCGUGAGGGCGGGGAAGGGCCCGGCCCGGGCUUGGAGCGGCGGGAAAGGCGCGAGGGAGGGAAGGGAAGAGGAAAGCCUGGGAAUUCGGGCUUCUGGGGACGCCUCGCGCGUGAGUAAAUGUCUGGAUUUCUUGGCGCGCCGGAGGGGAAGGGGCUUGGCUUUGCUGCUUUCUUCUCCUUCUUCAUACAGCUGACCCCCAGGCCGCCCUGUGGCUGGAGCGUUGUCUGGGCAUCAUGGAAUGGCCUGGGUUGGAAGGCAUCUUAAAGAUCAUCCAGUUCCAACCCCCUGCCAUGGGUCCCUUUCCACCAGACCAGAGUGCUCGGAGGUCUGUUCAACCUGGUCCUGAACAAUUCCAGGGAUGUGGCAUCCACAGCUUCUCUGGGCAACCUGUGCCAGUGCAUCACCACCAUCCUCGGGUUCCUUGGGUCCUCGACCCUUCCCAGCUCACCUGGGAAGCCGAGGAAUCAGUUUUCUCCUUACAGUGCCACGCAGCCAGGAGGCUUUAUGGUGUUGUUUUUUUAAGUGAGGUGUUUGUAAAUUGUUUUAUUGCGGCUCUCCUGUGGUACGUACGAGAAGGUGAGUCUACUGUGGAGGCACAGCUCAUCCCCCUUGUGCUGGAAAUGGAUCAGAACGUUGUUCCGUAACAAGUCUGCGUUGCUUCUCCAGUGUCAGGCUGAAGCCCCGUGUCUGGGCAGGCUUUUCCCAUUGGAAUUUCCUCUUCUAUGAUUGCUAGGUGCUCUAAAGCAAAGGUGAAGCCAUCGAGUGCCUUUGGGAAUUAUGUGAGCAAGGUCAAUGGCCAAACUAUGCAAGGGAUGUUCAGUCACAGUACUGUUGCUCGCUGAGUCUCCUUUAAUUGCUACCCUCAGAUCAUGUGCUCAUUAUGUUGAAGCACACUUCUGCCUCUGUAGGUGCUAAGGUAACACUUAUGCACCAGUGAUGUUUUCCAGGUGGAUCCUCACAUUUUUUUCUGGUCCCGAUGGUGCAGGGACACUGACGGGAGUGGAGAUCUGGGCAAGACAAAGUCUUGAAUAAUGCAAACAAAGACUCAAAUUAGGAUGUCCUGGCUCCCCUUAAAACCAAACUAUUGUCGUAUAGCUCUGCUUUCUCUUGGAAGUGCAGGGAGAACAGAAGAGCACCUGAGUUUGCUGAGGUUGCAUGUCUUCAUAAACAAGCAGCCAGUUUGUCGGAGUAUUUGUAUAAGAGUUUGGAGUGCAGAUAAAACCCAAGUUAUUUUUGGUUCUGGAAAUGGGCCACAGUCUACUAAUAGUGAAAACAGCUGUGAUCAAACAUCUGCCUUCUUCUGUAUUGUCCAUGGAUUCUCUGUCCUGUGUUUUCUCAGCAGUGUUUCCUCAGGUACCGAGCUUGGCACCAAGGACUUCACUGGCUGGGAACAUGCCAAAAAUAAGGUAUUUCAACACAGAUUGUUUCUGAGGUGUUGAGUUUCCACUUUGCAGUGUCCCAAGUAUAAAUCACCAGAAAUUAGAGAAGACAGAACCAUUUCUGGGUAGAAGGAAGGCAUCUGCUAAACUACAGAGCAAAUCAAGGGACUGUAGAAGCAAAAAAGAAUCUUAGUUCAGUUGGAAAUAUAAUGAGAAACUCACAUGCACCUGAAGUCACAACACCUGAGUGACUUCUCUAGUACUGUCAAUACUACUCUUAACCUCCCACAUCCUCCUGGAAUUGAAUUUCCAGAUGCCAUUUUUUCUUUAUUUGAUCUACUGCUUGGAUGAGUUGAGAGGUGCUACAAAGGCCUGGAUAUUGCUUCAGCUCUUCAAGGCUCAGAGUCUUUAAUAAUAACAAGAAAAGCUUGAGCAUGCACACUGAGGGUGCUUACAAACAGGCAGGUGACAAUUUUGGGGCUGACAAUGAUACAUGAUUACUUGUAUGAAAGCAGAGAGACUGUUUCAGACAAAUGUGAUGCCUCCAGUGCUGAGAUAUGCCCUGGAAGCUGAAUUCAGAGGGAAUGUGUCUUUAAAUUCAGGAGAAGGAAGGAAACUGCCCUGUUGUUCUGUAUCAACUAAGAGCCACUGAAUAACUGUAGGGAUGGAGCACCUCUCCUAUGAGGAAAGGCUGAGAGAAUUGGGAUUGUUCAGCUUGGAAAAGAGUGACCUAAUUGUGGCCUUCCAGUAUCUGAAGGGAGCCUUUAUAGAAAAGAUGGAGAGAGAAUAUUUACUAGAGCCUGGAGUGACAGGACAAGGGGGAAUGGCUUCAAACUGAAAGUAGGUUUAGAUUAGAUAAUAGAAAGAAAUUCUUUACUGUGAGGGUGGUGAGGCACUGGCACAAAUUGCCUAAAGAAGCUGUGGAUUCCCCAUCCCUGGAAGUGUUCAAGGCCAGGUUGGAUGGAGCUCUGAGCAACCUGGUGUAGUGGAAGGUAUCCCUGUCUAUGGCAUAUGGGGUUGGAACUGGAUGAUCUUUAAGGUCCCUUCCAACCCAAACCAUUCUAUGAUUCUAUGAAGUAUUAGCUGACUCAUUAGGUUUUAGCUUAGUUUAAAUGUGGAAGUUACCUGUUAGUCUCCAGAACCACUUUGUUACCUUCUGUGUGGAAGCUGUGGACUGAUCAGUCUGUGACUGAACACCACUCUUUGGAUCCCCCUUUCCUGUGUGUUUCCUCUCCCAUUAAUUUUCCAUGCAGUUUCUUUGUGUACUCCUGUACAUUGCCGUGCUGAAAGACCUGCCCAAUCUGUUAAGAGACUGAGCACUGCUGGUUCAUGCCAGAGAGACCUCAGUGUUCCAGGAAGGGGUUUGGCACUCUGGGAAUCUCUGCAGCUUGAAAUUGAGAUGCCAAGUUAAUGUGCCGCUUUUUGAAAGUAAUGUUAGAAACAGCAGAAGUUUUGUGUUUGAUUUCUCCUUGUAAAUAAAUACACAUCACCUGAUGCCUUGCUGAGCUGAAAACAGCUCCUGAAGUCACUGCCAGAAGAAGCUGAUUUGGAAGGAAGACUCUGCUCCAACAGUGGGAUUCAAGCUCUCAUCUUAAUGAUGUCCAAGGUAGUUGUAAUAUCUCAAGCAUUUGGGUUCACUGACAAAUAGGACGAGCCUGAGCACAUAUAUAGGGACACAAUCCCAGGAAAAGAACUUUGUGUAGCACGGAACAGGGAAAGGAUGACCUGCUUUCAGGUCUGCUUUUUCUUUGUGCUCUUACAUUAGUAUUACAUUUCACUGCCAUCAACUCCAAAAAUCAAAUGUGUAGUUUGCCAUUGUCAACAAGGCAGGUACCACCAACCUGCUUUCUCAAAACCACAUUUUUUCCUGGACAAAUUGGCUUUAUUUUGUGUGUCUCUGUAGCUUUUGCUUUACAAAAGGGCAGAGGUUCAGUGCAACAUUUCUGUGGUCAUACCAAGUGUACUGAAAAGCCAAAUUUGCUUCGUGAAGGUUUUCUGCCUUGAGAGGAUGACUGCGAUUCUCUUACUGUCUGACCUCCCCAUCUGGUCCAUUCUCAGAUGCUUGUUUCCAAGAAUAAGGAUUUAGAGAAACUAUUGAUUAUUUAUUAACAUAUUUGGUGUCACUUCAAAGUCAGGUAGCAAAUUUGAAGUAGAUGAGUCCCUACUGGAUACAAUUGCAAUCUUAUGGCAUUCUAUAGUCCAAGACUUACUAGCUAGUCACCUACAGCAAGAUUCAUCAUUUCAGCCCUUAGAAAAACUAAGGGGCUUGAAGUUGGGCAUAUCAGUUCCAACUGGGCUUUCAUUCCUGCUUUUUGAAGUUCUUGGCAGCUACAAGCCAUGAGCUGCUGAGGAGGUGAGGGCAGCAGUCAUCCCCUUCACACAAGAGUCUGAAGCAGCUCAGGAGGCACCUGUGAUCUCUGCUGACGCUGCUGUUCAGAAAGGAUUUUGAGGUGUGCAGUCAACAUCAUGCUCAGAAUGGCUCAGAGGACCUCAGACUCUAAGGCAAAUCCUUUUGCAGUAGCUCAGGAGCAAUGUGACAGGACAACAACCUUGGAUGUGUGGGACACAACUGAAAAACAGCAAAGAAAAAGCAGGCAAACCAAGAGAACUCACAGGGUACCAUUUUGUGUCUUACAAAAGAUAAAUCUAAUGCCUGCAUUUUUGCCAUCUUGCCAAAUUUUAGUCAAGUUGCCCAAAAUAUGUGAGUAUGGGCAUAUAAAGGAAAGCAGCUUAAAGUAAUACAACCUGACGAGAUCAGUCAGGGAGAAACCAUCCCCUUCAUUUAACCUCCCACUUUUAUUAACACAUGGUUUGUUUCUGCAUCUGUUUUCCUUACUGUUCUUUUCUUCAUUUACUCCAAGGUAAAAGCAGAAAAUCUUGAAUUGUUAAACUGUUUUGUUCUUGAAAUUGGGAACAAAAAAGCCCCCAGUACUUCAUUUUUGUAUUUUAGCAGUAGCUCCUGUGUUGUCCAGGAGUUCCCAAUAAAAUGAUCUGCAAAUUACAUUUUCUUUGUACUUCCCUCAUUAAAGUUCUGAUGAGUGUGUGUGUGAUCUGUGUUAUAUUUUGACAGUGUAUCGUGGUCAAGAAAGUGGAGGAAACUGAUGUAAAACUCAAGGGGUUUGUUUUGGUUUGAUUUAUUUUUUUUUCCCCAAAAUGCACAAAAAGACAAAUGUUCUUGCUGGCAGUAAGGAAAAUCAGUGCGUUUGUAGAAGAGUUACUGAAAAUAGAAAAUAUUGGGAAAAAAAGUCAUUCUGAUACUGUUUAUCCUUACAUUGAUGAAAAAAUUGCUCUUCAAUCUCAGAAAUACCUUACUAACUUUGGGUAGUAAGGGGAGUAAAAGUGAGCUGAUAUAGGAAAUGUGUUACUAUAAAGAAAAAAAGGAUAUUUUUCUUUCAUAAAGCAUUAAAAAACUAGUUAUUACUAAGUGCUUUAGUUAUAGACCUUAAUUAGUAUUGCUCUGUCUUGCUUAAAUCUUGCAGUCAUUUUUGUGUGUUGCACUCUAUUCCCCUUGGUAAACAUGACUUUUAAAACCUGGAUUGUCUCUGAAAGGCUUAAUGCUGAAAUUCAUCUGGAAUUUCAGUGGUGGUUCGUGGUCAUAAGAAGUGCCCACAGUUCCCAGGUAAACGCCAAUGUCCAUCACUGUGCAGCAACAUGGGAAACCAUGAAUUCGUAUGCAUGACUCUGAUUGUAUUUUGAGCCGCUCAUGAAAUUCAGAAAUCAGGGGGUUUGGAUCUUCUGUAGAUUUGCUGUGUGAGAGACGUUCUCUGCAUGUCAGCAUGAGCCCACUGACCUGUUUGCUGAAGUGUGACCAACAGAAGAAGAGACUUUUAGAAAAACUACCACUGUAUCAUGUUUUUUGUGCUCUGUGGAUCUGUAACACUGACAGUCUCUGCAGAGCUGGAGAAAUAAAUAAUACAAAAAAAUUAUACUUGUCCAGGAAGUGGUUCCUUUACGCUACUUCUGUUGGUAGAUUUUUAAUUUUAUUUACAGUCCUGCCUGUACCUCCUGCCCCUGGCAGCUCUGAUGGUGUCCAUUCAUGUGUAUUCCAGAUGUGGACUGCUUUCAUUUGUAGGAAUAGUCUUGGAAGGAGGAGGCUGAGACCUACCAGAGCACUUCAUUUGGCCCCCUCCCAGCCACCCUGUAUCCUGUGAUCCAGCCAGGGAAUAACAAUCACCUGCAUGAAUAGUUCUCACAACAGCAGUGCGCUCGGAGCGUUGCCUUUCCUGAUCGUCCUCAUCACGCGACACAACGUGGGUUCAAAAUUUGGAUCCCAAAUCUGUGGCACGUGUGCAGACAAACUUCAAGGCAGUCAUCCCAGCACAGAGUCAGCUUUUGCCAUAGGAGCAAGCUUGGGUACUGCUGGCAUGGCAUUGUCUCAAACUCCUGAGGAAAAAAAUAGGAAUUACCUGCAACAGUUAAUGCAGGGAGAAGCAGGGCAGGUACUGUACGAGAAGUUUCUCAAAGUCUUUCUGUCAGCACCACCUUUUGUUUUCAUAUGAUUUUGUGUGUUAUAGUCUGGGGCACAAUCCUUGAACAAAACAACAACAACUCUUUUUCCAUUUAAAGAAAGUCUGGAUAGAAUAGUCCUCCAGCAGGUUAUUGGGGCAGACUUCCAUUCCUGUACAUAUGAGAAACGUGUGGGAAUAGAGGUAACCAGCCAGCCUGUAUCCCAGACUGAUGCCUGAAGGUUCCAUUGUUUAUUUUUUCACAUCAAUAACAAUAUUGUAAAAAUAACUUUUCAGCUGAACCGAUUUACACACUCUCAGAUGGCUGUUGUUCUUUUUGUCCUUCCUUGGCCGUCCUCCACAGCCUUGUAAUGGAAAUCACUGCACAGUUCUCUGCUCAGCCUUUGGAUUUCUAUCUCUUUAUAGGGGAGAUGUGUGUGCUCCACAAGUGUGUUUUUCCAGGAUUCUUCCUUGUCACGCUGUAAAAUUGAUGCAAAGCACGUCCUGCCAUUUUUCUAAGCAGAGGGAGAAAUUGUGUCAUCCCCCACAACAGGCUCUUCAUUGCCACUUGACCUGUCUUCAGUCCACUGUUCAGUCCUAUCCAUAGGUAACCUCUCUUUUUAAUGGAAAGUGUUUUGGUUUAGAAAAAUGUCUGUGUUUCUCAUGUGGGUUUUUGCCCUCACUUUACUUCAAUUUGUAUUUCAAUAACAAAGCAACUAAAUAUAAUAUAUAAAAAUCCAUUUGUUUUCUGAAAUUAAGUGAACUUCAUCCAAGCUCAAAAUCCUGACAGUCACUUUUAACAUUUGGAAGAUUUUGCAAGCACACACUGCAAAAAAUAUUUUGACAUCUAGGCUGUCAGAUAAUCUGUCAGCAACAGUUAUAUCAUUCAGGGAGAGAACUGUUAAUUUCCAGAGUAAUUUAUUUGGAAAAUAAUGCAUUUACUGCAGUGAAAUAUCCUACUGGAUGCUAGAGAAGCUACUUAGCAUUUGUGCAGGCAGAGUAGUUGGCUUCAGAACGUGAGUUAUUCUCUUGCAACAAAAACACAGGAAAAGAAAUUCUUGCCAGAAACCAUCAGUGAAGAGCAGGUACCUGCAAAGGGCAGGAUGGUCACAGACGUGCAGGAAGUGUUAGGAACUCCAUGCAGAAGGAUGUAAUGCCUGGAGAAAAGGAGAGGAGUGCUCAGGGUCACACUCUUUACAGAACAGGCUCCUGGGGCACAAGGGAUCAUACACCAAAUGCUUUACUUGGAAUAAUCUUUAAACGCCAGGGAAGUUGUCAGCACUGUGGUGCUGUGCCCAGAAAAAAAAAAAAAAAAAAAAAAACAAACCAAAAAAAUCUUCCAAUUCUGCUUCAGUUUUCUCUGUCCAUUUAUUUAUCCAUUACAAAUCGAUCUCGUUUCUGUAGGAAAAUGUCAGAGCAUUAUGUGUAAUGAUGGUGAUGAUCAUACCCAAAGGGCUCAGAGGACUAAAGCCCAGGUCUUGUCUACUUGUGCUGUUGGAUGGUGUCAAUCUGAGGCUGCAUCAUGUUUCAUCUGGCAUAAUUUGUGCCCCAUCCUGAUUUACACAUAAAAUUUAAGUUAUAGCUGUGAUUUCUUUUAAAGAAAAUAUGUGCUUUUUCAUGCAUUUUACUGUGUAAUUAACAAACAGUAAAUUUGUUACCCUGCUUAUUGCUUUUGUUGGCAAUGAUGGCAACAAAAGCUGUGAUUUUACAGGAAUAAGCAAGGCCAGGUCAUGGAGGAAGACUGGCAACUUUAAAGAUUAUUCAGCACUUAAAGAAAGGUAUUUGCAACAUGGGCAAUCUCAGCUUUCAAAUUCUUCUUAACUCUGUCCCUGUCUAAUUACUCCCCCAAGUCUCACUGGCACUUACCUUUCAUUGAUGGUUAAUGCCACUCUCAGAGCUCUGUCAAGCUGCUUCUUCCAGAGGCUUUUUUUCUGUGCUCCCCCUGAUGCAGGAGAUGUUUUCUCUUUUCAGACAGACAAAGCCAUUAGAUCAAGUUGAUGAAUUUUGCUCUGAGUUUCCUGUGUUCCAAGUCACUUUUAGAAAUUGCAAAACAAAAUGUAUAAGACACCCUCUUUAGAUUGUUAGACCUUACCUCAUCUGCAUCAACCUUUUAUUCUGUUGCCAUUUUUAGUGGAAAGACAACAUUAUUGUGGGAACUUCUGUGUUUUAUCAUUUUCAUUUAACUUCAGUUAAACUAAAAAAUUAUAAACUCUUACCAUAUUUAUCUUUAUCCUCCUUAUUUGUCCUUAUGCAUUCUUUUUUUUCUGAGGCAAAUCAGAAGAGGGGGAAAGAAAAGGGUGAGGGUAAAAGGAGGAAAGAGUAAAAGAAGAACAAAACAAAGGAGAAAAAAAAAGUUUUUAUACUUAUUCUUGGAAAUUUUUAACUUGAGAAAAUACCCUAUUUAAAGGGUUUACAGUUAUUUCGUACAGAAUAACAGUAGUUUUGUCUUUCUAAAAAAUUCUCUGCCAUUUCUACUGUAAAUUAGCAUAGCUCCACCCGGGUCAAUUGAGGACAAGUUGCACAAACUUUAGCCACUGUAUUAGCCCACAUUUAAUACGUUUUAAAAUACUUCAUCCGAGUUGACAAGAUGCACAUAUGGUUUCUGAGUUAUGGAUUGAAGGGCUGGAGCUUUUAGCCUUCCUCUCUGUCUCCUCACUGUCAUAUUUCACUCACAAUCUUACUGCAUCAGACUUGGAUUAUCAGCCUUUUUUUGCCCAUAAAGCACCCAGCAUAUUAAUGUUUUGCAUAAAUUAUAAGAAAUUUAAUCCAAAAUCAACUAAAAAAUAUUAUUUUGCAAAAUGGCAGCAGAUUUUAAAACUGAGCAGUCCAAGCUUUUCGGAAUGUAUUGUGGAUGUUGUCGUGAUUUAUGUGCUGUCAGUUAUUUUUGUGUAUGUUGAAAAAAAACCUGACAAGUUUCUAUCUCACAUUUCAUAAAUCAGGGUUUUCUGUAUACAAAGCACGUGUCAGAAAUCAGUAUCUAAACAACAUGCCAGUUGGCUUCUCCAUGUGGCAGCUUGUAAACAAAAAUAUUUGGGGACUGCGCAUUUGUGACAUGACAUGUAAGGCGAUGUAAAAACACCAGUUAUUGGGAAAUAAUCCUGUUCCUCUACAUUGCUAAUAACAUGAUAAAUCGUGCUUGCACUGCUGCGUCACAGUUCAGCAGGGGGAACUUUCCAAAUUCAGGUGGUUCUGUUGGUUUUUUCCAAGUAGGUGUAUGGAGAGGUUAAAUACUUUAUUAGUGACCUAUCUGUGCAUCAGAGGGCUAUGUCAAAACUGACGGGGUGUUCUGUGCAUUUGUCUUUAAGUUUUCCCCAUAUUAAUUGUGUUUUGGUCAGAGACAAAUUCUGGUUGUACUGAAAUCAGUGAAGGAUUUUCCACCAACUUUCAGGGAACUUUCAGGGAUCAGGAAUCAGCUGUCAGAGGACAGGGGAAUUACCAGGGCAAACCAUGCCAGCUGUUCACACAGCGCAGGUUCCAAGAUGUGAAUCAGCAUCCAUGAGAUUUCAACUCGAUAUGAUGAGAACACAAAAUACAACACUGCAAAGUAUUUCAUUCCCUGAAAGCCAAACCAAACAGGACAAGUCUUGUGGAGAAGAUGCAAAGACACAUUUUUACAUCUUCCCAGUAUAAAUGCAGCUGGAAAAGGCUAAAGCAGGUCACGUUUAAGGAAUAAAAGGUUGAGCAGGAUAUGGGAAAACCAGAAUGAACUAAAAGUAGUUGUUACGUGACUGGAUGCUGUUUGAAUGACCAUUGCAGCACAGAGGGUUUGAAGCAGGGCUGAGGAUCAUCAACAGGCCUAACAUUAGUACAUCACAAAGUGCAGGACAUGAAAGUAAUUUAAAACCCCCAAGAAUUUUUAUUAUUAGUCAAUGAUGCAGGUUCUUUUAACAUUUUAUCCAUUUUUUUGGUUGUUGUCAAGCCGGCAAAUAAACAUUCAUAGGAUCCUCUAUGAAAUAUGAUUUCUUUUUGUUCUUUUGCUGCUACAUCUAGUUAAAUAUUCUGGCAUUUCUGUUCAUGUGUCUUGUUAUGUUUUGUGCCACAUCCAUUUUUGCAAAAUCAGACACCAAAUAAGGAAAAAACAAUUAAUGAACUAUGCAAUAGGUAAGUAGCUUCCUAGUGUUGUGACAAGGGGGGAAAAAUGCUGGUUUUAUUCCCAUAAAUCAAAGUAAUCAUGCAAAUAUUGAACUUUAUAACCUUAAUUUGUUCUCAUAUGUUUCAAAAUUUUGCUGCUACUUUCAGCCAAACAUGAAUUAAUAAUGGUUCCAAAUGCCUGUAGAUUAUUUAAUUAAAACAGAGUAAAUUCAUUUUUCAUUCUCAGCUAAGUGACAUAAAACAGACUUUGCAGGGAGAAGGCCAUACUCAGGAUUCUGAUGUCCCUGAAGAUUCUUUAUCUCAAGAAUUUUAAUAACGUCUUUACUGUUUUCUUCCUUUUGUAUUAACACACUCUGUGGUGUUUUGUCGUUACAGUAGACGUCCAUAAUCCCAAAUUAUAUUUCUGUCCAAGGUUUGGGGGGGUUUUUUUGGUAGUUUAAAUGUUUUUUUACUGGUUUUUUUAUGUCCAACAGUCUUCCUGCAGACUUUCUGUGGACUUUUGUAGUUCAGACUCAUUUGUUUAAUUGAUAAAUAGCUUUGCACAAAAUUUUGUACUCCCAACCAUAGUUUUGUAAUUAUUUCAAAAGAAGGAAACUGAUAAGUCAUUUAGGAAAAAAAGGAAGGAAGCUGAUUAUUGUCAAUUAACAUAAAUUCUGACAUGCAAACACCAGAGAGGAAUGGAAUAGUGCAAAAGCAGGCUGAAAACAACAAAUUGUGGUACUCCUGGCCAACUUCUGUGAUCACAUUUGAAAUACUGAUUUCAGUUUCAUCUUGUUAGCAGAAAAAUAACUAGGGAAGUUACAAAAGAACAGAAAACUGGCAGGGAGAUUAAAAGUUAUGAUUUAAACAGCAAGAUGUGAAAAAAAACCCCAAACAUGAAAUUGUUACUGAUUAUCUUAAUUAGCAAUCUCUUGAGGAGUGAGUGGAGUUACUAAGCUCCCUAAGGUUUGGAUCCCAAGGUUUGACAUUAUGUGUUUACAGUUUCAGAGACUAAAAUUAUCAGGAAAAAAAAGGGAAUAUUGACAGUGUUUAUUGUGCUUCCUGGUUAUCCCAUUCCCAAAUUUGCCACGUGCUUGGGUAUAGUUCUAAAAUGGGCUUAAAUAUUCAGGAUUGAAGUACAAUUGAAGUAGAUAAACUGAGGGAGCCCUACAGCAUCUGGUAGGGAACUAAAGUGCAACUCAUUAAGUAAAAUGAAAGAAAAUAGAUGAAAUUUAAAAAUACAAGAUUCAGGCUAAUUAUUAGCAAACAUUUAGUUACUGAUGUCUACAUGGCAGCAUAAAUCAUUCCUUUGAACAUUUAAACUAGAUAGGAAAAGACAUGGAAAAAUCAGUGAUUAAUUCUGUAUUGGUUGGAUGUAUUAGGAUGACUAAUAGAAUAGGUUUUUAGUAUCUAAAAUCUGUACUGCAUCCAUCUGAAACUGCAUAUACAGGCAUGCAAGGGAUACAAGAAUUUGACCCUAUAAUUGGUAAAAUCCAAUGACUUCAGUUUGGCGAGACAUCACCAAAGUACUCUGUGCUGCAUGAGAAUGAAGACUAUAAAUAAGUAAUGUAUUUAUUUUUAAAUAAAUGGGAACAAGUAAAUUUUCCCAUAUCCCUAAAUGCUCAUAAAUCAUUGUGAUUUACUGUGUCAGUCUUAUUUUUCAGUUCUGCCAUCUAUUUCAGUUCUCUUUAAAGACUGUACAUAUGGAGAGAUCGACUACAAGAUUUUCAGUCUCUGGAAAUCCAUAUCUGCCAGGAAAAAAAUGUCUGGAGGCCAAGAUUAUCCCUUUACCUACGGGAAGAAGUGGCAGCACUUUUAAUUAGGCAUUGUCCCAACCAGAACUGCAUUCUCUCUGUUACCUCAGGGUCUCUGGGAUAUAGCCUGCCUUUGUAUAAAGAUGUGUGUUGAAGAUUUACUGGAAGGAAAGGAAAUAACAGGGCUCAUGAGUAACAUUUGGUGUGGUUUGGGUGCUGCAGGGGUGGGCAGCUCAGCUGGAGGUGUUGUAAGAAGGGCCCAAGUAUCACAUCAGCCCAGUUGUGGGUCAGUGUUCCUGCUGACCAGGGUGCUGGGAGUGAACAGGGAGACUGGAGCUGAACAUGAGCCAGGAGUGUGCCCAGGUGGUCAAGAAGGCCAAUGGCAUCCUGGCCUGGAUCAGAAACAGUGUGGCCAGCAGGACCAGGGCAGUGAUUGUCCGCCUGUACUCGGCACUGGUGAGGCCACACCUUCAGUCCUGUGUCUGGUUCUGGGCCCCUCAGUUCAGGGGGACAUUGAGGGGCUGGAGUGAGUCCAGAGAAGGGCAAUGGAGCUGGUGAAGAAUCUGGAGCACAAGUCCUGUGAGGAGCAGCUGAAGGAGUUGGGGGUGUUUAGCCUGGAGAAAAGGAGGCUCAGGGGUGACCUUACUGCUCUCUACAACUCCCUAAAAGGAGGUUGUAGCCAGGUGGGUUUGACCUCUUGUCCCAGUCAGCCUGUGACAGGACAAGAGGACACAGUCUUAAGCUGGGCCAGGGGAGGUUUAGGUUGGACAUCAGGAAGAAUUUCUUCACAGAAAGGGUGAUUAGACAAUGGAAGGGGCUGCCCAGGGAGAUGUCACUGUCCCUGGAGGUGUUCAAGGAAAGACUGGAUGUGUCACUCCAUGCCACGGUCUGGUUGACAAGGUGGGGUUGGGUCACAGGGUGGACUCAAUGAUCUCAGAGGUCUUUUCCAACCUCAUUGAUUCCGUGAUUCUGUGAUUCAGCUUUACAGAGUGCUUUCUAUAAAAAGCUCCUUUUGAUGUCUCUCUCAGCUUCAUUCUGCUCAUUUUUCAUAUGAAAGCUAAAACUUUCUUUCCCUGCAAUUCCUCCAUUUUACAUCAGUUUGCAGCACAGUGAAUUAACUCUUCCAAACCAGGAGUCGAUAACGUCUUGCUUCAGGAGGUGCCUAAUCACUGUGAUAAAUUAUCCUAAAAAAAAUGAGAGACCUUUACAGAUGACAUUUUCAUUUGCAGUGAGUUGAAGAUGGGUUUAGCAAACAGCUGCUUUCCACAACAGCCAGGAUUAGUCAUCUUACUCUUACAUCAAGCAUAAAGUAGUUAUUUUAUAUGGGGAAUUACGAAAGAGCCAAAUAAUUCUGGAUUAUUGAUCUAUUUGUCUGCUGGGAGGUUGUGAGUGAAAAAUCUUUUGCUCUGUUGUUCUUAAUUCAGAUGUCAUUAGUGUAGAGGUUACUCUGGGAUCACUAUGAAAGAAAUUGAUAUAAUGCCCACUGUGCUGCAAAAUAUGCUUCUUUCCCAAAUAAAAAUAAAUGGAAGUUAACAGAAUAAAAUGUGAUGUUUGGUAACUUAGAAACCAGAAUGUUUUUCAGGAGCAAGAUCAAUCAAUGGCUGCUAUUAAAACAUGGCUUAAGACCUUGUAGAAUUGCACUUGAUACUUUAGACAUAAACAGCCUAACCACAGUGUAAUCAGUAAUUAUUACCCCUGUCUUCUAAAGGAUCUAUUUGCACUUACUUUCUUUGAGUAUCAUCAUAAAGAAGCUCAAUUUUAUGUGUGGUAUAAAUAUACUUUUUCUGAUUUCACAGUAAUUGCCUGUGGUCGUUUAAUUUGUCGCUGUGACUGAGACCUUCCCUCAUUUACACUUCCAAAGUCCUGUCGACUCUGUGGAACAGUAACAUGUUGUGUAACUGCGAAAAUUAGUGCAGGGAACGAUGCUGUAAAUAGCAUUUGCACUGAAAAGUGAAGCAUUGCUUGCCCUUGUUUAACUCAAGUAAUCCAGAGUGCUUUGUAGUAAUUUCUACUGUCCGUUUUUCUAUAUUUAGAAAAACAGCUGUGUAUCUUUUGUAAUAACCAAUAAGAAGCUGCAGAAAUCUUCCAGCUCAGAGCAGGUGUUUACAGGUCCUUGCCUCUCUCCUGAUUUACGUGGUCCCAGUUUGCAUAAUGGACGAGUCACCUUCCAGCACGCAGCGUUCCGAGGUGCCCAGCUGAAGCCCUUGGAUGCACCUGCCUGCCUGGAUCACAUCACGCUCCCCUUACAUCCCCUUUCCUGCUCCUCUACUCUGCUUUGCUGCCUGGUUUAAUUUUGUUCACCUGAAGAGCAGAAACAUUUUGUCUUUCUAAUUUUGCUACUUCCUUCAAGAAUUCCUCCUGUUUCUCUUUAUGGUUGAGUAGUUGUAAAGGUCCACUGAUCCCAGGCCAGAAGGUGUUUUGGCCUGAUCAGAGGGGCUGGAUGUAGGGUCCAUUCCAUUGGAAAGCUCCCAUUCCUUGUUUCAAUAUUGUUGUUGCGUGAGCAACUUUGAUCACAGCUGAGUUCUAGGCACAGACCUCAGCACUGCCCAGGAAUCUCAGUGUGAGCUUAGAAUUUAAAGGGAUUUUAAGAAAUGUUAUCCAAAUUCUUCUGAUGUCAGCAUAAAUUAAUAUGCAGAAGUGAGAAGGAGGAUUUUAUGUGUUGAACAGUGUUUGUACAAGGAGGCCCUUUAGUGAACACAAUGACUUGGAGCAGGCUGUGGCUGCUGUAUGUGUAAGGUGCCAAAGGACUUUUUUGUAGACUUUGUUGGAAAGAAAUAAAAAUCCCUAUAUAUUUUUUUUCUUUUUUUUUCAGUGGAAGAUGCCAUUUAUUUUGUAAGCAGAAAGCAGCUGUUUGCAGCACUAGACAUUGAACUAGGAACUCUGUCUGUUGACUAAGAGCCUUUAAUAAAUUCACAAUUAGGCAAGGCCAAAAGUAAACUGGGAUAUCCAGUACUACCAAUACAGAUUAAAAAAAGAAGAAAGAGAACCCUGGGAUAAAUCUGAACCAGCUGAGAGGACAGAGAGCUGCCUGAACCCAAAGCAGACUCCCUAGGAGGUUAGGAAGAACCACAGGAUCACCUGCCCCACCUCAAAAGUAUGAUGGAGUGGCCAAGGUGAGGACUUGAUGGAAAAAAGCACAGUGAAUUUCAAGCUGAGGAAAGGAAAUGUGGGAGUGAAAAACAAGGAGGAUCUGUUUUUCCUCAGAUUGUCUGGACUCUUGCAUUUGCCAGUCCUCCUCCUUGCCAGGAGGGGAAGUGCCCUGUUCCCUUCUUCUUUAUGUUCAUUCCCAGCCUGGCUUUGUGUGGCGAGGCAGCGACGUUUCUCACUGAGGGACAAAUUUGAAUUCUUUGAUCUUAGUAUCCUAAUUUCACAUUUGCCAGGUAAUUAAAAACAGACAAACUUGCACGCACACGUUAAAAUGCAGCAAUGUAUUUAUGAGCGUAAUUGAGCUGUGAUCAAUUCCUCACAUUUCACUACAAACUAAUAAAAAGCCAUUAAAGGGCAGUGAAUGGACCCUGCCAGGAGCAGGCCCGUAUCCCCUCUGUUCUGUGCAGUCUGGAGCCACACACAGUUUUGCAAAGCAUGGGCUGACAGGACAGUGUGGCAAUAUCUCCUACCUGCUUUGCACACGUGGAAGCAGCAGUGCAAGCUGUGAGAACAUCGGGUGUCAGAACAGCACAGAGCUCUCGAGUGCCCUGCACACUCCAGCCUCCGUGCAGGAUAACGGCAUUCCUUCUGCUCCCGAGACAAAGAGGGACUUGCUUUUUCUCUCCCUUUCCUUCAAAACAGAGACUACAGGGACAGAGGGAUGUUAUCUUCUUGCUAAUGGCAGCAUCUCGGAUAUGGAUCACCUCCGAGUUAUCCCUCUCGACAAACAGGGCUGUGAAACCAUCGCUUGGUGUCCUGGCAGGUCCCUGCCCAGGGAACCCUGAGCAGCUGCUGCCUUCUCUCCGCCACUGACCACAGGUUUCCCUUUGUCACCCUGUGCAUUUGAGGGGUUUUAAUCCACCUGGAGCGUGGAAUGUAACUGCACAGAGCAGGCACAGAAAGAGGGCUCUAAAUGCCACGAGUUCAGUGAGCUCAGUUAAACACAGGAGCACCUGCCAGCUCUUCCACCACGGCCACAACCAGCUCUAGCUAAGAACUUCUGAAAUACCCCUUCUGUGUUAGAUAUACUGAUUCCCUGAUGGCUCCUUGCACCAUUCGCUCCUGCCCCCAAAUCCAUGAAAUGGUAUCAUCCAGUUUUGCUCCUCUGACAUUUGAGGAGGCAGAGAAAGGCGCAACGAGGGAGUAAAAAAAGUGUAUUUUUAGUUCUUUUUAAUGCCUUUCAGCACGAUUGCUUUCUGGUUUCAAAGGAAACGUAACUGAAACCCAAUGUGGUUUUGGAGUGAGGAAAAUGUUAGAUAAAAAUUAGCAUUUUAAAUCAGGGAAAUGAUUUGUGAAUUAAAAUACUUGCUUCUUGUGGCUUUGUAGAAUCACCUCCCCUUUGCCUUCGGGGUAGCCAGAACAAUUUUCAGGCCAAACCAAUAUUUGAAUUCUUGUUCUUCCCAAAGAAAACUGGUGGGUGGGUUUCUGUCUAGGAGCUAAACCAGAAAUUUGCCCUAGGGUUUGGCUGCAGUUCAGCUUUGGGGAGCCCAUCACCCCAUCUGUCCCACCAGCUUCCCCCAGUAACGGGCACA